GGGCUGACUGCCACUGGGGAAGGAUCUCUGGUUGGAGAUCCCUCCUUGGUAAAGCUUUCCCCUGCGAACCUGGAAUCUUCUGUUAUGGAGUUGGUGCCAGUGCUUGAUAUUUGACAGCCAAAGCUCGAGGUGAUGGGAAUGUGGUGGAGAAGGUGAUGACCUACCUAUGGCUGCAUCAGCAGGGAAGAGAAUCAACGCUGAGAGAAUAUAAGAGAAGUGGACCAUUCAUUGACAUCGGAGCCCAGAUAUGAUGGCAGUUAGCUUUCAAGUUUUAGGGAGAGAAACUGCACCUCUGCCUGAUGGGGUGCUUAAAGCCAGACAGAAUUCAGAUGCCAACAGAAAGCUCCAGACUGCUACAGAAGAAGAAAGGAAGACAAGAAGAAAGAAAAUGAGAUGGGAUUUUCCUUAUCUCCUGCUCGCUGUGGGAACUGCUGAGCACAUGCUGUAAACUGGAGCAGCACGACUCGAGUCGGCUGUCAGCAGCAGGUUCAAUUAGGGAUGUUUUACAGCCCGAUGGCAGGAACAGAGAGAACUCGAUGGGAGCCAUUUAUUUUUUGAUGACCUGAUGUCAAUCAAAUGGGAGUCAAAUUUCAUCCCAGCCCACUGUUUAAAAAACCUCAUGGUUAGUCCAAUAACCAAUGACUGGCAAUGGCAGACCCACACCUCUGGCAGUGGUUUGUCCCACCUGUGCUGGCUGCCUCCCAGUGCAAACUUUUUGGCUUAGCCUGCAGAAAGUUAACGCUCCCAGUCUCCUGCAACCACAGCAACAGAUCCACGCUAAUUUCUUUUCCUGAAAGAUAUAUUUUUCAUAAAUUUCAUUUUCAGCGUUUGCAGCGUGGGCUCUUUCCCAAACAAAGCAGCCAGCGACUGAGCCUGGGUUUAUUGCCUCCACAAUCCAAAUUGCAGCUAUUAUCGCUAUCUACAACCUGCAAUUAUCCUCAGCUUGCGUGUUUCAUUUCUUUAUCAAAACAUACUUUGUGCUGAUGAGAGGUGAUAGACUGGCAGCUCGGGAAGCCACGUCUGCUCUCCCAACAGCAGCUGUGAAGGCAGAGAGCAGAGAGCAGCCCCUCACACAUGGCAGCAGCUGUGUGAUUGCUGCAGCAUUCAGGGACACAGAACGUCUCAUCGUGGUGAGGGGAGUUCUGAUGCAUCUCAGUUCAUCCUAAGAUCAGGUCUACCUGCUUUCCUCUGCCUUACGCUGUGCAGAAUGAAGGGAGCCCACCAUUUCAUGCAUUUUUUUUUUUCUUUUUCAUGGCCCUGCCGUGUUAUCCAUUCUUUGUUCUGCCACAGCAGUUUUUGUUUUCUGUGCCAUGAUGGGGAUUGAUUUUCCCCAUCCCUAAAGAUCUGCAGUUUGCCAGGCUGGGGGGUUCUGCCAUGCUGGGGCUGCUGUGCAGCUGCAUUUCCUGGGAGACACCAAUUUCAUCCAGCAAUCCCAUCUGGGUGAAGUAGAAUUAAAACUUAAUAAUAAUGACUUUGGUCACUGGGCAAGUCUGCAAAUUGAAAUGGCAAUGAGAUCUGGUAGGUGCCUUCAGGAGGCUCAGUGACUGCUCACAGGGGAACCAACCUGAAAUGUUUGGCUCUAAUCCGCAUUUCAAAGUAACUGUGUUGAGAAAUGUCCAUUCUGUUGCAAAUUAACAAUGCCAGUCUCAAGAAGGUAAGCUACUUUGUCCCCAUCAACUACCACUUAAUUGGAGGCUGAGGAUGACCCUGUCAUGGCAGUGGAAGGACAGCUGCCUGCCUUCUUCAUUCCAGUGGGUAAAACACAAGAUGGGUAUAGAACCAUAGGUAUAGAAUUGUUUGAGUUGGAAGGAACCCU
Phasianus colchicus (ring-necked pheasant) is the source of this 1816-nucleotide long non-coding RNA. RefSeq lists it as uncharacterized. The record is from RefSeq and is a predicted model, not a curated record. NCBI's taxonomy places the organism in Eukaryota, Metazoa, Chordata, Aves, Galliformes, Phasianidae.